CGUGCUAUAAUGCAGUCGACGAACUCUGGUAUUGAUUGGUGCUUGCAUCAUGAUUUACAUUUGAGUGAGUGGCGAACUGGUGAGUAACACGUGGGAAACCUGCCCAGAAGCGGGGGAUAACACCUGGAAACAGAUGCUAAUACCGCAUAACAACUUGGACCGCAUGGUCCGAGUUUGAAAGAUGGCUUCGGCUAUCACUUUUGGAUGGUCCCGCGGCGUAUUAGCUAGAUGGUGGGGUAACGGCUCACCAUGGCAAUGAUACGUAGCCGACCUGAGAGGGUAAUCGGCCACAUUGGGACUGAGACACGGCCCAAACUCCUACGGGAGGCAGCAGUAGGGAAUCUUCCACAAUGGACGAAAGUCUGAUGGAGCAACGCCGCGUGAGUGAAGAAGGGUUUCGGCUCGUAAAACUCUGUUGUUAAAGAAGAACAUAUCUGAGAGUAACUGUUCAGGUAUUGACGGUAUUUAACCAGAAAGCCACGGCUAACUACGUGCCAGCAGCCGCGGUAAUACGUAGGUGGCAAGCGUUGUCCGGAUUUAUUGGGCGUAAAGCGAGCGCAGGCGGUUUUUUAAGUCUGAUGUGAAAGCCUUCGGCUCAACCGAAGAAGUGCAUCGGAAACUGGGAAACUUGAGUGCAGAAGAGGACAGUGGAACUCCAUGUGUAGCGGUGAAAUGCGUAGAUAUAUGGAAGAACACCAGUGGCGAAGGCGGCUGUCUGGUCUGUAACUGACGCUGAGGCUCGAAAGUAUGGGUAGCAAACAGGAUUAGAUACCCUGGUAGUCCAUACCGUAAACGAUGAAUGCUAAGUGUUGGAGGGUUUCCGCCCUUCAGUGCUGCAGCUAACGCAUUAAGCAUUCCGCCUGGGGAGUACGGCCGCAAGGCUGAAACUCAAAGGAAUUGACGGGGGCCCGCACAAGCGGUGGAGCAUGUGGUUUAAUUCGAAGCUACGCGAAGAACCUUACCAGGUCUUGACAUACUAUGCAAAUCUAAGAGAUUAGACGUUCCCUUCGGGGACAUGGAUACAGGUGGUGCAUGGUUGUCGUCAGCUCGUGUCGUGAGAUGUUGGGUUAAGUCCCGCAACGAGCGCAACCCUUAUUAUCAGUUGCCAGCAUUAAGUUGGGCACUCUGGUGAGACUGCCGGUGACAAACCGGAGGAAGGUGGGGAUGACGUCAAAUCAUCAUGCCCCUUAUGACCUGGGCUACACACGUGCUACAAUGGAUGGUACAACGAGUUGCGAACUCGCGAGAGUAAGCUAAUCUCUUAAAGCCAUUCUCAGUUCGGAUUGUAGGCUGCAACUCGCCUACAUGAAGUCGGAAUCGCUAGUAAUCGCGGAUCAGCAUGCCGCGGUGAAUACGUUCCCGGGCCUUGUACACACCGCCCGUCACACCAUGAGAGUUUGUAACACCCAAAGUCGGUGGGGUAACCUUUUAGGAACCAGCCGCCUAAGGUGACAGAU
This 1457-nucleotide ribosomal RNA is filed under the name bacterium. Its description in RNAcentral is "bacterial SSU rRNA". It matches the Rfam family "Bacterial small subunit ribosomal RNA". The record is from RNAcentral.